CUACGGGGCGCUCCAGUGGGGAAUAUUGCACAAUGGAGGAAACUCUGAUGCAGCAACGCCGCGUGGAGGAUGACACUUUUCGGAGCGUAAACUCCUUUUAUAUAGGAAGAAGAUGACGGUACUAUAUGAAUAAGCGCCGGCUAACUCCGUGCCAGCAGCCGCGGUAAUACGGAGGGCGCAAGCGUUACUCGGAAUCACUGGGCGUAAAGAGCGUGUAGGCGGAUUAAAAAGUCAGAAGUGAAAUCCUAUAGCUUAACUAUAGAACUGCUUCUGAAACUCUUAAUCUAGAAUAUGGGAGAGGUAGAUGGAAUUUCUGGUGUAGGGGUAAAAUCCGUAGAGAUCAGAAGGAAUACCGAUUGCGAAGGCGAUCUACUAGAACAUUAUUGACGCUGAGACGCGAAAGCGUGGGGAGCAAACAGGAUUAGAUACCCUUGUAGUC
Molecule: ribosomal RNA, 439 nt
Filed under: uncultured bacterium
Lineage: Bacteria
Description: partial 16S ribosomal RNA
Rfam family: Bacterial small subunit ribosomal RNA
Source: RNAcentral